AUUCUCCUUGAUAACAGCGACGAUGUUGUUUUAUGGCCUGCGAAAUUAUCGCCAGCACCAGGGAGGAUAACGUUGCGUAAGCAACGGCCCGUAGGGCGAGGCGCAGCCGAGUAAUCCUCCCGGAUGCACCA
This 131-nucleotide small RNA is filed under the name Klebsiella pneumoniae. RNAcentral describes it as "RtT sRNA". It matches the Rfam family "RtT RNA". Rfam says of the family: This family represents a bacterial cis-regulatory element known as RtT RNA. The exact function of RtT is unknown although it is thought that it may be involved in changing the cellular response in relation to amino acid starvation. RNAcentral also lists the same sequence under 1 other name. The record is from RNAcentral. Lineage: Bacteria; Pseudomonadati; Pseudomonadota; Gammaproteobacteria; Enterobacterales; Enterobacteriaceae.